Cyanistes caeruleus (blue tit) is the source of this 6518-nucleotide non-coding RNA. The record is from RefSeq and is a predicted model, not a curated record. Lineage: Eukaryota; Metazoa; Chordata; Aves; Passeriformes; Paridae.
AUUAGGGAUUAGGUGGAACAGAUGCAUGUAAGAUGCUUACUGCCUUUUCCAGACACAAGGCCACUUUCCAAUCAGCUCAGAGGAAACAGGGAGGCAGCUGAUGCCGGCCGGCUGGCUGCCAAGCAGGUCAGGCCUCUGCAGCUGAAACUGCCCGAGAUUCCUAAGCGGGAUGAUGAAUCAGCUGUGUCCUUUAGGACACAUCCUCUCUUGGACAUGUUGCCGGGAUGUCGUGUCUCCCCGCUGCUUCCCCGUGAGAGUGUGCUCAGAGCUGCUGGUUGAUGACACUGGUGGGUUGAUGAGUUUGCUUUAACUCUUCCUCCUCCCCCUCAUAAACCAGCUUUGCCUCCUGGUGAAGUUAUUGCCCCUUAAGCUGACGAUAGCAGCCCUAGAUGUCUCAGUGGAGGAGGAGUGCCAGGCUUUGAAAGAAAUGAUGCCUUGCUUGUCAUUUGCCUGCUUUUAAAAGCAUAUUAAGACAGCUUUGGCUUGAGUGCCCUGCAGGCAGGAAUUCUGAGCCAGGACAGGCUGGUUUUCACGGUGUCCAUCCCUGUUUCCAAAAAAAAGCCUUGACUCAGAGUUGCUGAGUGAAACUGCCGCAACUGGAGGCUGCUGUACCCAGGCUGCCUCGUGCCUGAUGACUCUCACAGCACAAUAGAUUUUCUUUUUUGAACCUUUAAAAGUUCUUGGGUGUGUUUACAGCUCAGUGCUUGUUCAUCCCUGAGGAGAUUUUGCUGGCUAAAGUCCUCCAAAUGUGGAGGGCUGUCCUGUCACUGUUAAGCACAGGGUAGCUGAAACAAGGUAAUGGUUAUCAGGCACUGGGGAUGGUGAUUAAGAAGCUGACUAUUGUAUUUAUUACCAUCUCCUCCCACAAGCUCCUGCCUUGCUUGUUUGCCUUCUGAGGCCCGACUGUGCUGCUGUUUAUUGGGAGAGCACUGCACUUUUCCAAGAUGUUUGGUUUCAAAACCAUCAGAAUGUCCCCAGGGCGUUUGAAAGGGGAUGUGCUGUGUCACGAAAGACAGUGUUCCCCAUGGAAGGAUUAUUUUCCCCAAGUGACAGGCUGGUUGAGCUGUAAACAUGCAAAGGAGGAUCACCAUUACAAAUGUGAGAGAGAGCAGAGAAGAGCUGACCCCAACUCAGGCAAAGAAACAAGAGAGUGUCUGGACUUCCCCAAAUGCAGGUGCUGUUCCUCACUUGGUACUCUUUCGAACGUCAUGUAGAUAAUUUUCUGAGAUUGACAUUAACCUCUUUUUAUGAGCAUGCACAAGCACCAAAUGUUGAAAUCCACUUCAGGCCUGGAUGGAAAAAUUCUGACUACGGUUUGCUGUCAGGAAAUGCUGGUUCAGCAAGAGGAAAAAGAUGUCAACUUCAACAGUAAAAAAAGGAUCAGAAAGAAACAGAAAAAAUAUGAUACCAUUGAAGAUACUCUCCUGGGGGCUUUUUGAAGCAGUGAGGUUUAUUUUUCAGUGCCCUGUUUUUAUUGUUCAUUGACAUGUAGGAUAAACACAGCCAGAGCCGAGGCUGUACCUUUUUUUUUCCCCUGUGGCUUUGCUCAGUAUAUGGUAGGUAACAGCUUCUGCAUACCCAACACAUCCUUCCCAGUACCUACCUGCAAUAACACUGGUGCUAACAGUGCAGGUAAAGUGGGAGAAACUUUUUCUGAUGUGCCAUCUUUCUUAAGGGAGAGCAAAGUGCCUCUGUGAAGCACAAAACUCCCAUGGAGGCAUGCUGGGAUCUAUCUUGGAGGUGGAUUAUCUCCUUCACUGACACCCUGCACUCCUGGCUGUGUGGGUUAACUGAUGACCUAGUAAAACCAUUGGCUCCUCUCAGGUCUUGACAUACUCCUCAUUUAUGUAGCUGUGGCUACUUAGGUCUGGUAAUUCUAAAAAUGGGGUUCUUCCUGAGCACCUAAGUCCUCACAGGAGUACAAAAUUAAAUAUGCAGGGCAGAAACAAGACAUGGAAGAAUAACCCUGUGUUGCAUAGGAAGUGUGUGUAAUUUUGGCUACUGCUCUGCAUUUUUUUAUGUCUGCCAAAUACAUGAGAUUGACAAGUAAAUAGACAAAAAUAUAUAUGUUGAAGCAAAAAAAGCUAAGAAAAACAGUAUUCUAGUGAAGUUCUGAAAACAGCUAACCAAAUAAAUCUCCCCAAAUACACAGCUUUGCUACCCAGGGUGGUUGUUUGGUUCAAGACCUUCCCAAUUAGCAUUAUAAACAUACCAAAGUGCUAUGCAUGUUUUUUGAGUAAAUCACCUAAACAGAUUAUUACUGUUGGGUAGCAAUUAAAAUGAUUGAGUAGUCUAAUCUAUGUCCUGGUGUAGUGCCAAGUAUCAGAGCUCUGAUUUAUGCAUUUCCCCCUCCUCCCCAUGUUGCUUCUGAAAUGGGACAGCGUGGGAAGCCUGGCAGCGCAUGGGACAGAACUCCUCUCAACACUGUCAGGCCACUUGCUUCCAAAUUCCCCUCCAGGAAGUGGGAUGGUGAGAGGAGAAGAGACUUGGUGCUUCCCAUCCCUGCUGAUGAAUGGAGCCAGGCUUUCUUCGGACUGCAAGUAAAUUCACUGGGCCAGAUGCUCAGGCCAAGCCCCAGGGCUGCUUGUUCCUAGGAGGGAAAGGUAGAAGAUUCCUGAGGUAGUUUUUUUUUAGUUUCUUUAUUUUGUGUUAUGGUGAAGUUCCUGUCUCGGAAGUGAUGCUUGUAUUUUAGUCUCCUUUUUCAGUGCAGAAAGCCAGAGGAUACAAGAGGGGAGCAUCAUUUUUAUGACAACAAGGAUGCAUCCUUUGCAAUUGUGACUUCCUUUGGCUGGGAUGUGGGAUGCUGUGGCCGUCCUGCUGUGUUUUCUGUCUUUAUCUGGGACAGCUGAAGUGAGUACCACAGUAACAGAUAGAUUUGUGAUGAAUGGACUGGCAGAGCCAACGUAUUUUACAGAGGUUAAUAAGAGUUUUGUAGCUGUUAUUUAUUACCAAGACAGGGAACGCCUACAUGUGUCCCUAUCUCUUACUGCAGUAGUAACGCUUGUCUUGAAAACCAGCUCAUCAGCUUUCCCCCAGGCACUCAUCUGCUUUUCCCCUCCUUACAGUUUCUCCAGGCCAUGUUGCCCAUUUACCAUUUCCCUGAACUACAAGGGACAGACUGAGUGUCUGGGAAUGUACACACAAAUCAGAUGACCCGAAACAGCCUGCAUUUUUUCUCCCGUUACUGGAUCACUCAGGUGUUCUUGCUUUGAAUCUCCCUCUUUGUUACCUACCAGGGCAUUUGUGGCUGGAAGGUUUUCGGGACAGGGGCAGUUUGACACAGCAUGCGCAGCACAGAGGAGCAGCCUGACCUGCUCACAGCUCCAUGCGCUGCUGCUCUAAUGACAACCGUGAUUUUUCAUGCCUGUUAUUGGAAGAAGAAAGUAACUGUUUGCAGUAAGCCGCAUACUAAUCAGGAGCUUCUGGGGACCUUUACCUGUUCGUUUUCUUCUCCGAGUGACUUGCAUCUGAGCGGGACACUUUGCAGCCCCGAGCCGAUGUCAGCCCUGCCGGGCUCUGGCAUUUGUCACUCACUCAGAAGACGGGAGCUCAACUUAUUCUCCCAGCUGCCAAACAUUGUUCCUGCUACAGGAGGCUUUUGGUCCCAACCUUAGAGAAGCUGUCAGUGUUCUGGCUGCUAGGCAAUGCUUCUGCCAGCCCGGGGAUGAAAAAGGAAAGACGGAGUUGUCCAAGUCUCUGGCCAGAUAACGCCUGGAUUUCACCGCCACGUGGUGCAGCUGCUCAGCAGCUUAUGCAUGCAAACGCUGUUGAAAACCAAAGGGCCAUGGGAGAAAAGGAAGAAAAGUUUUGUUUCUCCUCUCUGCUUGUUUUUUGUCAUGCUGCUGUUCUCCUGCCCGGCUCCUCAGCUAUGUGGCAGAAUCGCUGCCAUUGCAAAUGUACGUGACUAAUCUGUUACUUGAGGAAACGAUUCACAGGCAUGAAUGACCCAGGCGACCAGGAAGCUGAUGGGAUCCUGUGCUGGGAAGAGUGUUUUGGGGGUUUUGGGGGUUUGAUGUGCUUUUUUUUUUUUUUUCCUCCCCCUAGAGGGUUGCUCCCUUUGUUAACUGAUGGGAGAGAGAUACCCAUCGGAGUGCUAGAUGCACCGAUAGGGUCUCUGUUAAAGAGGUGGCCGCCCUCUUCCCAGCCCCAGGGGCAGAUGUGCUGCACCAGGACUGCACGUCCCUCUUCCUCCCCAGCCACGUGGGUGCCGUUCCCUUGCGGUGGCGCGGUGCCAUCAGCCGCAGCGUGCUCGCCGGAGUGCAGAGGCUCUGGAAGGUCUGGGUGUGAGAUCAGGGCAGAUCCUUACUCGUUCGUCUCCCAACCAGCUCAGGCAGACACCCGAGGCCGUGGGACCGGAAUGCUCUGACCUGAAUACAGCCAGGCACUAUCCCUCCCAGGCCGGUCCUCGCCUCCCUCCACCACUUCGCUUUGCUCCGUUUCAGCUGUGCAUCCUUAAGUGAUUCAGGGGCUCCGGGCCAAAGGGCUCUUUGCCCCGCUGGGCUGAUCCUGAAGAGAAGGGGUGAUGUGCCAGGAGGUCUGGGAGGCGAAUGUCAUUUCAUCACUUUUCUCCCAGGAGAGUAAUGUCCGUAGCCAGACAUAUGCUCAUGGCCUGGAAUGAAGUCGACUGCAAUUACAUCCUAAGGGAGUCACUCAACGGGGGUUUUGUGGAGGCAGGACUCAGGCUCUGGUGGAGCUGCACAUGUGCUGUUAGACCUCCAACUGCACUCGCUCUGCCUGCAGCUUUGUGGGAGCGAGGAGCAGCAGGCUCAGAAAUACAGCCAGUCUGGUGCACAUCUGGAGACAGUAAUUGGAGUGCCUGUGUCUGUGCUAGAUGAGAGCCUGUGGGGAGUUCAGGGAGUGCAGGUCUGGCCCGUGUAUCACUCUGUCCCCAGGACCAAGCUGGGAGAGUGGGUACAGAGACAUGAGCUUUCAAUACCUGCAAAUUUCCAUCUGGUUUGUUAGCAGCACUCCUCAUGAAGGGGAUUAUGAAAAGUUGGAGAUGCUACAGUGUUUCAGACUCAUUUGACUGUGGUGGUUGAGCUGAACCACUUCUGACUUGCCCUCCUGAAAGUGAACGGAGGACAAGGCUGUGCGGUGGGGCUGGUGACAACUCGGUUUCAACCUCUGCUGCAGCACCCUGGCUGAGAGGAUGGCUUUUGGCUCGUGAAGAGGAACUCUCGGAGGCUGGACCAUUUCCCCUCACACUCCCGGGUCUCUCCAAGACUGCGUGUAAUGCUCAGGAAGGCUUCUAGGGGCAAGGUGCUUUUCUGCAUCUAACAGAAAACCCUGCAAGCUCAUUAAUAAAGGCAAGAUAAAAUAAAGCUUGGAAAGUCAACAUGUUCAAGAAGAUAUGCCAUUCUGGGAAACAAGAGGAGAGGAGGUGUGUAUUUACAUGAACAAAAGAAGUCCAAACUGUAAACCGUAAUAUAUCUGUUAGCUCAUUAAUGUGUCUGAUGCUGACUAAUUCCAGGGGUGUUCCUGCUGCCCAGCAGCAAAAGUGCAAAUAAGUGGACAGCUGUGAUUUAGUGCCAAAUAUUUGAACACAUCGUGACAAUUCAGGCCACCCACUCUCUUAAGUAAAUACGACUUCUGUAGAAUCAUUUCAAACUGGGCUGAAGUGCAGAGCAGCCACUUUCAUGUGCAUCUCAGCCAAAUGGCCCUUAAGUAUUUGGGGCCAAACUGUGCCUUCUCUUACACCCUGGGAGCCCCCAUUCACUCCAGAGUUUGCACUAUGUGUAGCUGAGGGGCAGAGCUGACUCUUGAUGCUAAUCUGACUUUUUCUAGCUCAGUAAGUACAAUUUCACAUGUAAAUGUGAAUGUGGAACAGAUCUGGACUAGAUUAUCUCCUGAAUCCUUGACAAAAAGCCAUAAUUGUUUAUCCAGAUGAUGUUUCUUUCUCUCUCUUUUACUUUCUCUGCACUUUAAACCCAAGGUUUUAAUGGGCUUGUGAAAUAAAUACAUGAGUGUAGAUUACAGUGGUAUCAAAGGUGGGAAGAAAACACUUCCCUUCUCCUCAGCACAGCUAAAUGAUCAUUUGCUGCACACUUCAGUUGUGCUCUCCAGAGCCUUGGGCAGGGGUGGCUGCGGAUCUGACGGUGGGAGGGAGGGUAUUUCCAAGACAACACUUAGCCCGGGGCUCCCAUUACAGAUGUGAAGGACCUGUGAUAUAUAUCUUCUUUUUUUUCCUGGUAGGCAGUGAAAUUUGUGCUAGUGGCUAUAUCUGGGGCACAGGGUUGUUGGGGGAGGUGAAAAGCAAGGGAAUAUGGAAAAAAAAAAUUGUAUUUAUCAGGGAAAUCUAGUUUAAGAGCACAAGUACUAAAACAUUUUAAUCACAGUCAUACGGCUGUGUGUCACUGCAGGGCAGAAUUAAGGCUAUUUGUAUGCCUUGGUAGCACACUGCCACACUUCAACAAGUUUGAAUUUAUUUUAAGCAUAACUUUAACUCUGAAUUCCCUGAGUUUGUAAUGUCUGGUCUGGAAAUAAAUGCAACCUCUUUAUAUUGUACUUUACUCUUAAAA